RNAcentral lists this ribosomal RNA (243 nucleotides) under Triticum aestivum (bread wheat). RNAcentral describes it as "partial small subunit ribosomal RNA". Lineage: Eukaryota; Viridiplantae; Streptophyta; Magnoliopsida; Poales; Poaceae. The record is from RNAcentral.
AUGGAGUUCAAGCCGAAGGCGACCGUGUGCGCGGUGAUGCUGGUGCUGCUCCUGCUUUCCUCCUACGACGGCGCCGGAGUCGGCGUGGCGGAGGCGCGCAUUUGCACGGGGAAGAGCCAGCACCACUCGUUCGCGUGCAUCUCGGACAAGAGCUGCACCAAGACGUGCCUCAGCGAGCACGGCGCAAAAUGGACGGCCGGCUACUGCAAGAUCAGCCGCUGCACCUGCCAGAGGGAGUGCUAG